GCUGGCGGCGUGCCUAACACAUGCAAGUCGAACGAAGCAAUUAAGAUGAAGUUUUCGGAUGGAAUCUUGAUUGACUGAGUGGCGGACGGGUGAGUAACGCGUGGAUAACCUGCCUCACACUGGGGGAUAACAGUUAGAAAUGACUGCUAAUACCGCAUAAGCGCACAGUGCCGCAUGGCAGUGUGUGAAAAACUCCGGUGGUGUGAGAUGGAUCCGCGUCUGAUUAGCCAGUUGGCGGGGUAACGGCCCACCAAAGCGACGAUCAGUAGCCGACCUGAGAGGGUGACCGGCCACAUUGGGACUGAGACACGGCCCAAACUCCUACGGGAGGCAGCAGUGGGGAAUAUUGCACAAUGGGCGAAAGCCUGAUGCAGCGACGCCGCGUGAGUGAAGAAGUAUUUCGGUAUGUAAAGCUCUAUCAGCAGGGAAGAAAAUGACGGUACCUGACUAAGAAGCCCCGGCUAACUACGUGCCAGCAGCCGCGGUAAUACGUAGGGGGCAAGCGUUAUCCGGAUUUACUGGGUGUAAAGGGAGCGUAGACGGCGAAGCAAGUCUGAAGUGAAAACCCAGGGCUCAACCCUGGGACUGCUUUGGAAACUGUUUUGCUAGAGUGUCGGAGAGGUAAGUGGAAUUCCUAGUGUAGCGGUGAAAUGCGUAGAUAUUAGGAGGAACACCAGUGGCGAAGGCGGCUUACUGGACGAUAACUGACGUUGAGGCUCGAAAGCGUGGGGAGCAAACAGGAUUAGAUACCCCUGGUAGUCCACGCCGUAAACGAUGAAUGCUAGGUGUUGGGGGGCAAAGCCCUUCGGUGCCGCCGCAAACGCAGUAAGCAUUCCACCUGGGGAGUACGUUCGCAAGAAUGAAACUCAAAGGAAUUGACGGGGACCCGCACAAGCGGUGGAGCAUGUGGUUUAAUUCGAAGCAACGCGAAGAACCUUACCAAGUCUUGACAUCCCCCUGACGGGCCGGUAACGCGGCCUUUCCUUCGGGACAGGGGAGACAGGUGGUGCAUGGUUGUCGUCAGCUCGUGUCGUGAGAUGUUGGGUUAAGUCCCGCAACGAGCGCAACCCUUAUCCUUAGUAGCCAGCACGUGAAGGUGGGCACUCUAGGGAGACUGCCAGGGAUAACCUGGAGGAAGGUGGGGAUGACGUCAAAUCAUCAUGCCCCUUAUGAUUUGGGCUACACACGUGCUACAAUGGCGUAAACAAAGGGAAGCGAGACAGUGAUGUGGAGCAAAUCCCAAAAAUAACGUCCCAGUUCGGACUGUAGUCUGCAACCCGACUACACGAAGCUGGAAUCGCUAGUAAUCGCGAAUCAGAAUGUCGCGGUGAAUACGUUCCCGGGUCUUGUACACACCGCCCGUCACACCAUGGGAGUCAGCAACGCCCGAAGUCAGUGACCCAACCGAAAGGAGGGAGCUGCCGAAGGCGGGGCAGGAAA
This 1440-nucleotide ribosomal RNA is filed under the name uncultured organism. Its description in RNAcentral is "SSU rRNA". It matches the Rfam family "Bacterial small subunit ribosomal RNA". The record is from RNAcentral.